RNAcentral lists this ribosomal RNA (450 nucleotides) under uncultured bacterium. RNAcentral describes it as "partial 16S ribosomal RNA". It matches the Rfam family "Bacterial small subunit ribosomal RNA", at positions 338 to 795 of the family's 1533-position model. The record is from RNAcentral.
CCUACGGGGGGCUGCAGUGGGGAAUAUUGGACAAUGGGGGCAACCCUGAUCCAGCGACGCCGCGUGUGUGAAGAAGGCCUGCGGGUUGUAAAGCACUUUUAGUGGGGAGGAAGGUCUGCGACCUAACACGUCGUGGAAUUGACUUAACCCACAGAAAAAGCACCGGCUAACUCUGUGCCAGCAGCCGCGGUAAUACAGAGGGUGAAAGCGUUAAGCGGAGUUACCGGGCGUGGUGCGGUCGGAGGGGUGUGAAAGCCCCGGGCUCAACCUGGGAAUUGCAUUCGAGACUGCGAAGCUGGAGUGCGGAAGAGGGAAGUGGAAUUUCCGGUGUAGCGGUGAAAUGCGUAGAUAUCGGAAGGAACAUCAGUGGCGAAAGCGACUUCCUGGUCCAGCACUGACGCUCAGGCACGAAAGCGUGGGGAGCAAACAGGAUUAGAUACCCCAGUAGUC